RNAcentral lists this transfer RNA (76 nucleotides) under Idiomarina loihiensis. Its description in RNAcentral is "tRNA-Val". It matches the Rfam family "tRNA". Rfam says of the family: Transfer RNA (tRNA) molecules are approximately 80 nucleotides in length. The record is from RNAcentral. Lineage: Bacteria; Pseudomonadati; Pseudomonadota; Gammaproteobacteria; Alteromonadales; Idiomarinaceae. RNAcentral also lists the same sequence under 36 other names.
GGAUGGUUAGCUCAGCUGGGAGAGCACCGCCCUUACAAGGCGGGGGUCACUGGUUCGAACCCAGUACCAUCCACCA